RNAcentral lists this ribosomal RNA (560 nucleotides) under uncultured bacterium. RNAcentral describes it as "partial 16S ribosomal RNA". It matches the Rfam family "Bacterial small subunit ribosomal RNA", at positions 355 to 936 of the family's 1533-position model. The record is from RNAcentral.
UGGGGAAUAUUGCACAAUGGGCGAAAGCCUGAUGCAGCAACGCCGCGUGAGUGAUGAAGGCCUUCGGGUUGUAAAGCUCUGUCUUUUGGGACGAUAAUGACGGUACCAAAGGAGGAAGCCACGGCUAACUACGUGCCAGCAGCCGCGGUAAUACGUAGGUGGCAAGCGUUGUCCGGAUUUACUGGGCGUAAAGGAUGCGUAGGCGGAUUUUUAAGUGAGAUGUGAAAACCCUAAGCUUAACUUGGGGACUGCAUUUCAUACUGGAAAUCUAGAGUGCGGGAGAGGAGAAUGGAAUUCCUAGUGUAGCGGUGAAAUGCGUAGAGAUUAGGAAGAACACCAGUGGCGAAGGCGAUUCUCUGGACCGUAACUGACGCUGAGGCAUGAAAGCGUGGGUAGCAAACAGGAUUAGAUACCCUGGUAGUCCACGCCGUAAACGAUGAGUACUAGGUGUAGGAGGUAUCGACCCCUUCUGUGCCGCAGUUAACACAAUAAGUACUCCGCCUGGGAAGUACGAUCGCAAGAUUAAAACUCAAAGGAAUUGACGGGGUCAUAGCUGUUUU